Molecule: ribosomal RNA, 460 nt
Filed under: uncultured bacterium
Lineage: Bacteria
Description: partial 16S ribosomal RNA
Rfam family: Bacterial small subunit ribosomal RNA
Source: RNAcentral
ACUACGGGAGGCAGCAGUGAGGAAUAUUGGUCAAUGGGCUUACGCCUGAACCAGCCAAGUCGCGUGAGGGAAGACUGCCCUAUGGGUUGUAAACCUCUUUUGUCAGGGAGCAACGCCUGCUACGUGUAGCCGGACUGAGAGUACCUGAAGAAAAAGCAUCGGCUAACUCAGUGCCAGCAGCCGCGGUAAUAAGGAGGAUGCGAGCGUUAUCCGGAUUUAUUGGGUUUAAAGGGUGCGUAGGCGGAAGGCGAAGUCAGCGGUAAAGUAGCGGGGCUCAACCUCGCUCCGCCGUUGAAACUGGCGUUAUUGAGUGGGCGUGAAGUAUGCGGAAUGCGUGGUGGAGCGGUGAAAUGCAUAGAUAUCACGCAGAACUCCGAUUGCGAAGGCAGCAUACCGGCGCCCAACUGACGCUGAAGCACGAAAGCGUGGGUAUCGAACAGGAUUAGAUACCCGGGUAGUC